AUUGAACGCUGGCGGCAUGCCUUACACAUGCAAGUCGAACGGCAGCACGGGUGCUUGCACCUGGUGGCGAGUGGCGAACGGGUGAGUAAUACAUCGGAACAUGUCCUGUAGUGGGGGAUAGCCCGGCGAAAGCCGGAUUAAUACCGCAUACGAUCCACGGAUGAAAGCGGGGGACCUUCGGGCCUCGCGCUAUAGGGUUGGCCGAUGGCUGAUUAGCUGGUUGGUGGGGUAAAGGCCCACCAAGGCGACGAUCAGUAGCUGGUCUGAGAGGACGACCAGCCACACUGGGACUGAGACACGGCCCAGACUCCUACGGGAGGCAGCAGUGGGGAAUUUUGGACAAUGGGCGAAAGCCUGAUCCAGCAAUGCCGCGUGUGUGAAGAAGGCCUUCGGGUUGUAAAGCACUUUCGUCCGGAAAGAAAUCCUUGGCUCUAAUACAGUCGGGGGAUGACGGUACCGGAAGAAUAAGCACCGGCUAACUACGUG
Molecule: ribosomal RNA, 486 nt
Filed under: uncultured bacterium
Lineage: Bacteria
Description: partial 16S ribosomal RNA
Rfam family: Bacterial small subunit ribosomal RNA
Source: RNAcentral